CGCGUAGGCGGAUAUAUAAGUUAGAUGUGAAAUCCCCGGGCUUAACCUGGGAACUGCAUUUAAUACUGUAUGACUAGAGUAGAGUAGAGGGAAGUGGAAUUUCCGGUGUAGCGGUGAAAUGCGUAGAUAUCGGAAAGAACACCGGUGGCGAAGGCGGCUUCCUGGACUCAUACUGACGCUGAGGCGCGAAAGCAUGGGAAGCAAACAGGAUUAGAUACCCUGGUAGUCCAUGCUGUAAACGAUGAAAACUAGAUGUUGGUUGGGUAAACCAAUCAGUAUCGAAGCUAACGCGAUAAGUUUUCCGCCUGGGGAGUACGGCCGCAAGGCUAAA
RNAcentral lists this ribosomal RNA (331 nucleotides) under uncultured bacterium. RNAcentral describes it as "bacterial SSU rRNA". It matches the Rfam family "Bacterial small subunit ribosomal RNA", at positions 568 to 898 of the family's 1533-position model. The record is from RNAcentral.